Molecule: ribosomal RNA, 501 nt
Filed under: uncultured bacterium
Lineage: Bacteria
Description: bacterial SSU rRNA
Rfam family: Bacterial small subunit ribosomal RNA
Source: RNAcentral
GAGUUUGAUCCUGGCUCAGAUUGAACGCUGGCGGAAUGCUUUACACAUGCAAGUCGAACGGCAGCACGGGGCAACCUGGUGGCGAGUGGCGAACGGGUGAGUAAUACAUCGGAACGUGCCCAAUCGUGGGGGAUAACGUAGCGAAAGUUACGCUAAUACCGCAUACGAUCUACGGAUGAAAGCGGGGGAUCGCAAGACCUCGCGCGAAUGGAGCGGCCGAUGUCAGAUUAGGUAGUUGGUGGGGUAAAGGCUCACCAAGCCAACGAUCUGUAGCUGGUCUGAGAGGACGACCAGCCACACUGGGACUGAGACACGGCCCAGACUCCUACGGGAGGCAGCAGUGGGGAAUUUUGGACAAUGGGCGCAAGCCUGAUCCAGCCAUUCCGCGUGCAGGAUGAAGGCCUUCGGGUUGUAAACUGCUUUUGUACGGAACGAAACGGUUCUCUCUAAUACAGGGGGCUAAUGACGGUACCGUAAGAAUAAGCACCGGCUAACUACGUG